AUGGAAGGAGAGGCGGAGCUGGAAGCGGAGGCGAAGGGAAAGAGAGGCGGCGGAAAGGUGAGGAUCAUCGAGGCACCACCAAGGAUCUCCAUGGAGGCUGUGAAUGGAGCCAUGGGGAGCGACGAGUUGCCGGAGAGGAUUUCCACUUCAGAAGAUACAGAAUUAGAGAUUGAGCAAGCCAAGGAGAUGGGAGAGGAAGCCGAGGAGAGGGAUGAGGUGGCAAAAUUGGAGAUUGAGGAAGCUGAGGGGAUGGAGGAGAAGAUGCAGACUGGGAUGUUCUUUAAUAUCUACUGUCGCGCCUUGGAAUCGAAUUUGUCCAGGUUGUUCAGCAGUCCCUGGAAAGAUGCGACUUCAUUGAGUCCUAUGCACUUCACACACAGUACAACGAACCGCACCUCUUAUGCUGAAUUCGCCACCAGCACUCUGCAAAUAUACUCCAUUAAAGUCACAGAAAUAAAGGGCACUCCUGAGUUGAAGUGGCCACUGCGUGUGUAUGGCAUGGUUGCUGCCCGAGAUACCGUGGAUCACAAUCGCAACAUUCUCUUCUUGCGUCAAAGGAAUGACUGCCAGAUACUCACUCCAGAGAAUCCUUUUUUGCAAUUGACUGGCCCGUCUCGUGCAAUUGCGGCUAUAGAUCCUGUUGACUUUGACAUUAAACUCAAAGUAAAGGGCAGGAUGAAGUCAAAAGAUAGAGUGCUCAUGCAUCAGACCUCCAAGUACAGCUGUAAUGAGGCCAUUCUGUUGGAUGACUCAUGCAGAAUUGUGUUACGGUGUGCGAAACUGGAGAAGACAGUGCAAGCAACUAUAGUCGGUGUCCGUGUUAUUAAUUGGAGAAAGAAGAAAUGGCCUUUUAGACAUGGUGGUCUAGUUAUUGCCAAGGCACAUUCUAAGCCCGUAAAACCUGAGAAUGAGGCCCUGCUACAAGAUCAAGUGAUGGAUGACAUUUCAGAUGGUUACUUUGAAGGUGAAGUUAGUUGUGUUGGCGACAGAUCUUCAGCGCUGAAACAUGAAGAUGAGGUUGUGCUUCAAGAUCAAGUGACAGCUAACAAUUGGGAUGGUUGCCUUGAUCUGUCAAGGCAUGUUGUUUCCGUAGAGUUAGAUGGAAAGCUCGAAGUCAUCAUCCGUGCCCUGUCUUCAAAUGGUUUUAUUACUAAACAUGGCCAUGUCUUCUUCCCAGCCCAGGAAAGCAAAAUAAGUCGGGGCAUAUGUGAUCUUGCCUCCUAUAAGGUGGAAGUCACUGUUGCUUGGUCCCUUCUUGUUCGAGACAAGCAGUUUAUCUCGAGGGAGGGAUGUAUGGAUGAUGACUAG
RNAcentral lists this ribosomal RNA (1308 nucleotides) under Triticum aestivum (bread wheat). RNAcentral describes it as "partial small subunit ribosomal RNA". The record is from RNAcentral. Lineage: Eukaryota; Viridiplantae; Streptophyta; Magnoliopsida; Poales; Poaceae.